RNAcentral lists this ribosomal RNA (622 nucleotides) under uncultured bacterium. RNAcentral's name for it is "bacterial SSU rRNA". The stretch from base 1 to 542 matches the Rfam family "Bacterial small subunit ribosomal RNA", at positions 338 to 873 of the family's 1533-position model. The record is from RNAcentral.
CCUACGGGAGGCAGCAGUGGGGAAUUUUGGACAAUGGGCGAAAGCCUGAUCCAGCCAUGCCGCGUGCAGGAUGAAGGCCUUCGGGUUGUAAACUGCUUUUGUACGGAACGAAAAGACUCUGGUUAAUACCUGGGGUCCAUGACGGUACCGUAAGAAUAAGCACCGGCUAACUACGUGCCAGCAGCCGCGGUAAUACGUAGGGUGCAAGCGUUAAUCGGAAUUACUGGGCGUAAAGCGUGCGCAGGCGGUUAUAUAAGACAGAUGUGAAAUCCCCGGGCUCAACCUGGGAACUGCAUUUGUGACUGUAUAGCUAGAGUACGGUAGAGGGGGAUGGAAUUCCGCGUGUAGCAGUGAAAUGCGUAGAUAUGCGGAGGAACACCGAUGGCGAAGGCAAUCCCCUGGACCUGUACUGACGCUCAUGCACGAAAGCGUGGGGAGCAAACAGGAUUAGAUACCCUGGUAGUCCACGCCCUAAACGAUGUCAACUGGUUGUUGGGUCUUCACUGACUCAGUAACGAAGCUAACGCGUGAAGUUGACCGCCUGGGGAGGUACGGCCGCGAGUAGAACGUACGAAAGAAGUAGACGCGUGAGACGUGCGACGGACGACGACGAGGGAGGAGG